GAUCAGGCUGUUGGUGAGGUAAUGGCCCACCAAACCUGUAACCGGUACGGGCUCUGAGAGGAGGAGCCCGGAGAUGGGCACUGAGACAAGGGCCCAGGCCCUAUGGGGCGCAGCAGGCGCGAAACCUCUGCAAUAGGCGAAAGCUUGACAGGGUUACUCUGAGUGAUCUCCGUUAAGGAGAUCUUUUGGCACCUCUAAAAAUGGUGCAGAAUAAGGGGUGGGCAAGUCUGGUGUCAGCCGCCGCGGUAAUACCAGCACCCCGAGUGGUCGGGACGUUUAUUGGGCCUAAAGCAUCCGUAGCCGGUUUUACAAGUCUUCCGUUAAAUCCACCUGCUCAACAGAUGGGCUGCGGAAGAUACUAUAGAGCUAGGAGGCGGGAGAGGCAAGCGGUACUCGAUGGGUAGGGGUAAGAUCCGUUGAUCCAUUGAAGACCACCAGUGGCGAAGGCGGCUUGCCAGAACGCGCUCGACGGUGAGGGAUGAAAGCUGGGGGAGCAAACCGGAUUAGAUACCCGGGUAGUCCCAGCUGUAAACGAUGCAGACUCGGUGAU
RNAcentral lists this ribosomal RNA (550 nucleotides) under uncultured archaeon. RNAcentral's name for it is "bacterial SSU rRNA". It matches the Rfam family "Archaeal small subunit ribosomal RNA", at positions 223 to 775 of the family's 1478-position model. The record is from RNAcentral.